Molecule: long non-coding RNA, 751 nt
Filed under: Nicotiana benthamiana
Lineage: Eukaryota; Viridiplantae; Streptophyta; Magnoliopsida; Solanales; Solanaceae
Description: long non-coding RNA (NBEN_LNC029284)
Source: RNAcentral
UUCAGCGCUGUUUUAUAGAAAAAUAGAGCAAUAAAUCAAAUAAAUUUAAGCAACUUAGCAGAAUUGCAGAUUAAUUUUUCUUGUUUUAUCUGUGCAUGUGCUCUUCGAAAGAAGAAGAAAAACAGAGCAUGGAGAGUGCUGGUCGCGAAAAACAAAGCACUGGACAGUGCUGGUCGUGAAAAACAGAGCACUAGAAAGUGCUGGUCGCGAAAAACAGAGUACACAGACAGUGCUGGUCGCGAAAAACAGAGCAGAAGAAAAGAAGAAAGAAGAAAAGAAGAAAAGAAAAGAAGAAAGAAGAAAGAAGAAAAAAACAGAGAGUCUGGUCGAGUCGAGAAAGGGGAAAGAGGAAAGGGGAAAGAAGAAAGAGAGGAACAUACCUGGCUGGUGCUGACGAUGGAAGAAGAAGAAGAUAGAGUGAAAAACUCUAAUUUUGUCGACUGGAGCAACUGAAGAGGCUGCUGUGUUUUAAUUUUUCUGUAUUAUCAAAAUAGCGACGCCUCGCAUCGCCACGCGCCUCGCCACAGAAGCUGUGACGCUCGCUAUUCUGGUUCGCAUCGCAACAGUGCCCUUUGUGGCGUUAAAGCCUCGCCUCGCUUAUCGCCACGCACCUCGCCUCGCCACUCGCCACAGAAGCUGUGGCGCGAGCUAUUCUUCUUCGCAUCGCAACAAUGCCCUUUGUGGCGUUAAAGCCUCGCCUCGCCUCGCUACACGCCUUUAGCGCUGUAGCGAGCGCUAUUUACAACCCUGA